This 193-nucleotide small RNA is filed under the name Pseudomonas sp. RNAcentral's name for it is "Manganese sequence". The stretch from base 6 to 120 matches the Rfam family "Manganese Mn2+ riboswitch aptamer (yybP-ykoY)". Rfam says of the family: This RNA was originally discovered in E. coli during a large scale screen and was named SraF. The family was later found to exist upstream of related families of protein genes in many bacteria, including the the yybP and ykoK genes in B. subtilis. The specific functions of these proteins are unknown, but this structured RNA element may be involved in their genetic regulation as a riboswitch. The record is from RNAcentral. Lineage: Bacteria; Pseudomonadati; Pseudomonadota; Gammaproteobacteria; Pseudomonadales; Pseudomonadaceae.
CCCUGGGGGAGUAGUCUCAGGCGAGCGCCAGCCCGCCUGGCAUGCGUCAACACACUUGAUCGGCAGAUCAUGGCGCAUGCGACCCGCGCGAUCGUGUCCACCACGUUUCGCCGCCGGUUUGACAAGACCCAUGACAUGAACACCUGGCCCGGGGCGGGCAGGUCGUGCAUGUCAUGGUGUUCAUGUCGACCCG